CCUGCGUCUUCAGAUGAUUGCUUCAUAACAACAACCUAGUCCUUCAAAAGAGAUACAUACCUCCCUGCCACAAACAAAAAAUAAAAGUGAAAAAUGAAUAAGAGGCAAAUUAAAAGUCAUGAUCGAAAAAAUAGCAAUCAGUCAUGCAACUCUUUCAACAUAAAAUAAUUGCCAACUUCACAUACCACCCAAUAGAGAAAUUAAAAGUUCACCGGACUAUCCAACAACCAUUUUCAAUUCGAGAAGAAAAAGUUGCAGAUAUAACUAUCGUAGCAUCAUACCACACAUUUGCAGAUAAUAGGGGAGCAAAUAAAAAUGAGAGUUACAAGGAUUACCCAAUCACCAACAACUUAAACAGGCUAACUAGGACUGGAUUGUGGAGAUCUCUUUUUAUCCGAAAAGCAUAGAUAUCAAGACACGCAAGUCCAAAGCUCCAUAAUACUUGAAGCCACAUUGCUGCAAUUAGGUAACUGAAUCCAAAACUAUGGAGUCAAUAGAGACUUAAUAGAACACAUUUGAAAUUGAUUAUGACAACAACUAAUUUCCCACAAUCGAACAGGUGUGCGGCAUAUUUGCAUUAUGAAUAAAAAUGCAAACGAAACACCAGGUUAACAUAAUAUCAAUUUUCAAAGAGUCUGCAUGAUCUAUGCUAAUUGUCAGCUAAGUAACUUACUAACUCAGACCAUUAUGCAGAUUUUGAGACAUUAGAUUAAUCUAAAUCGGGAACCAGCAAGAAAUAUCAGGCAAUUAGAGGAAGAUGUAUACACAUAAGCAUAUUCUCUAAGCUAAAAAAGUAUCAUUUCUUAGCAAAGAAAUGUCCCCAUUAACAAGCAGAAAAUUUUCCAUAUGAAUAUUUAUUCAUCAACAAGAACCAUUUCAUGAGCAACUGAAAAUACAGAAUUACAGACUAUCAUAGGCCCAAAAUUACUCAUACCCCUCCCCUCCCCAAAAAAAGCCUCAAAAACCGAAUUUCCAAAAAUCUAAAUCUAACAAAUUUUAAAAUAAACCUACAAUGAAUAGUCUAUUGCCAUAUUGUCACUAACAAAAAUGUGGCCAUCUGCUAUGGAUAACCCCAGUUCGCACCUUUCCACCAAAACAAUAGUGAGAUAUAACAAUAGUGAGAUAUCAUGCCAAAACUCUUCAAACAAAAAAUUGAAAAAGAAUACAGUAAAUAUCCAACAAUAGACAAAUAACUAAAGAAUAAAGAAAUAUGUGUAAAAGCCAAACCUUGUUCAACCAUUGUGAGUUCGUGCUUCUUCUCCAUAGUUGUCAGCCAAUGUCUGUGAUUCACAUGUCACUGUCUUUGCCAUCUGAAAUUAUAACAAAAUAGGCAUAGAUGACCAUAAACAACCAUUGAGUUAACUUCUUGUCAAACCCUUUAUAACUUUUUGUAUGCAUACAUCAAAACAAGCUCUGAAUCUCAAUGCAAUACGCAACAAUCAACCCAAAAAAUGCUCUAAAAGGAAUAAAUCUAUUACCUCUGCAACAAACAACACAUUUAUCAUAUAGGUUCUUAUUUUUCCAUCCAGUACAAUUCAAUUUUCUCUCAACUACUAGCCGUAGCAAUUAGAUUAAAGAGAUUAAGUAGACCACCACCUACACACCCAAAAAAAGAGAUAAAUUUACUCAAUUUCAAGAUAAUUUUAGUGAAUUGAAUAAAAAUGAGAAAUUUAGGUUUUCGAUAUGUUCAAUGGUAGAUGGAAAUAAUCGAAUUCUCACCCGAUAAAACUACUCGUUUGGGGGUUUCGGAACAACCGUACAAGCGGAGAUGUCUAUGGAAGGCGGCGGGUGCAAGCACGAUUAUGACGGUUUGUGGCGGUUCACGGCAUGUCGAUGAUAGAGUAUGCUUGUGAUGCGGUUGAUUAUUGGCGUCGGUGGAAGAAUUCAAAGUUGGAUGAAAAACUGUUGGUAUACGAUUUCUAGAGGGUUUUCUUUGAUUUUCGUGUAGGUCUGUGUGUGAGGGAGAGAUAGAGACGCCGCCUCACCAUAGCGCCGCCGCGCUCCACCAUAUCCCGCCGCCCUAAUUCCGGCCUCCCUCUGCAACCUGAAAUGGGGGAAACCUUAAGCCCAAUUUUGAAGCAAUGAGCUCCUCCAUUUUCCCCAAUAAAGAGCCCUAUGCUUGCAAUUGGCUACAACAACGACAAGCUCGAGCGGACUCACGCACGCUCCGCCGCCAUCCGCCGCAAGCCCACCGUCGUCUCUACCUUCGUCUCGCCUGAGACCGACUUGUUCCAAAUCUGAAUUUGCAUAUGGAGGCAGGAGACGUUUCUUGAGGGGUUUUCCUUUCGUGGAUGGUGGGAUGCUUUAAAAAAAGGAAAACUUUGGUGGGAAAUUGGGAAUGUUGCCGCCCACAUCUAUUAUAGAUUGUAGAAUUAUUUUAGUUUUUAUAUAAAGUUAUAAUGAUAGAAUUAUGUUUAUUAUAAAAUUAUAAAACACUUAAUACAAG
This 2446-nucleotide long non-coding RNA is filed under the name Salvia miltiorrhiza (redroot sage). RNAcentral describes it as "long non-coding RNA (SMIL_LNC005293)". Lineage: Eukaryota; Viridiplantae; Streptophyta; Magnoliopsida; Lamiales; Lamiaceae. The record is from RNAcentral.